GGGUGAUGAGGGAGGCCUAUCUGCAGAGGAGCUGUGUGGGUUGACGCCUCUGACAACGGUGGGAGGUGUGAUCAAGAAAUAAAGCUGGGUGGAGUGUCCUGGCAGAGGAAGCUCAAGAGCAAAGGUCCAACAGUGAGCGGUGCUCACGUACCCUGUGGGUCACUUUGGCUGCUCUGGGGAGAAUGGGAACAGGCCGCUCGCAAGUGUCCCCUUGCCCAGCCCGUGCCUCUCCAACUACAGCCUCUGGGACCAAGGGAUGCAUGCUCUCUAGUUAUCGUAUUUCCUGGCAUUCUGGAUCGACCCAGAAAAGACCCACCAGUGGCUUCAGAGGAACAUCUAUUGCGGCCAAAGUAUCCCUCCUGCCGGAGACCCCCUUCUCCAGAGCACGGAGGCUGGAGCAGACGUUCCCUGCGGCCCUUCCAGAUCACAGAGGCAAGAACAAGCCAGAGGCAGCUGUGGAGAACCACCUGGAAUCUCUUGAGCCCAGGGCCUGGGCAGCCUGCCUGGGGCUGAAGAGGCAGCCAGGACCUCACCCGGGGCUCACCUCCAGGGCAGGGGCACAGCAGCCCUGGCCCGCUGGGCUCCCCCAGGGCACAGCCUGAGUGCGAUUCGCAGUGGAGAGUUUUUGAAACGUUCACCUAUGUUAUCUGUCUUCUUAUUUUCCUUUCCUCUUUUUGCUUUUCCCCUGACUCAGCGGCCCCAGGAAGGGCUGAAACAGAGGAAGGCAGAAAGGGGAGUCUUUUUCCUGGCUUUUGAAGUUCAAAAGGCCUUCAGAGGAAACGAAAGACCUCCAGGCACUCAUUGCGUGUAAAGAGCCAUGCUUCCAGAGCCCCCACACAGAAAAGGAUUGGCUGGGAAGUAAAGAGCAAGCAUUACCAAGGGUUGGUGGCCCCUGCUGAAACCAGAGGCUUCAGCCCACGCCAGGUGCAGGCAGGAAGAGGAUUUAAAAACAUCAGUAAGGAACGCCUGGGUGGCUCAGUCCAUGAAGCAUCUGCCUUCGGCUCAGGCCAUGAUCCCAGGGUCCUGGGAUCGAGUCUUGCAUCAGGCUCCCUGCUCAGUGGGGCGUCUGCUUCUCCCAAUGCC
Ailuropoda melanoleuca (giant panda) is the source of this 1083-nucleotide long non-coding RNA. RefSeq lists it as uncharacterized. The record is from RefSeq and is a predicted model, not a curated record. Lineage: Eukaryota; Metazoa; Chordata; Mammalia; Carnivora; Ursidae. The transcript is spliced from 3 exons.